RNAcentral lists this ribosomal RNA (380 nucleotides) under uncultured bacterium. RNAcentral's name for it is "bacterial SSU rRNA". It matches the Rfam family "Bacterial small subunit ribosomal RNA", at positions 1002 to 1382 of the family's 1533-position model. The record is from RNAcentral.
CUAAUCGCAUCUUUCCCUUCGGGGACAGAAGUGACAGGUGGUGCAUGGUUGUCGUCAGCUCGUGUCGUGAGAUGUUGGGUUAAGUCCCGCAACGAGCGCAACCCUUGCCUUUACUUGCCAGCAUUAAGUUGGGCACUCUAGAGGGACUGCCAGGGAUAACCUGGAGGAAGGUGGGGAUGACGUCAAAUCAUCAUGCCCCUUAUGCUUAGGGCUACACACGUGCUACAAUGGGUGGUACAGAGGGCAGCCAAGUCGUGAGGCGGAGCUAAUCCCUUAAAGCCAUUCUCAGUUCGGAUUGUAGGCUGAAACUCGCCUACAUGAAGCUGGAGUUACUAGUAAUCGCAGAUCAGAAUGCUGCGGUGAAUGCGUUCCCGGGUCUU